This 329-nucleotide ribosomal RNA is filed under the name uncultured eukaryote. RNAcentral's name for it is "partial 18S ribosomal RNA". It matches the Rfam family "Eukaryotic small subunit ribosomal RNA", at positions 1470 to 1796 of the family's 1831-position model. The record is from RNAcentral.
CCCUUAGAUGUUCUGGGCCGCACGCGCGCUACACUGAUGCAUUCAACGAGUCUAAAACCUGCUCUGAUAGGGGUGGGUAAUCUUUUGAAUGUGCAUCGUAAUUGGGAUAGAUGAUUGCAAUUUUUCAUCUUCAACGAGGAAUGCCUAGUAAACGCAAGUCAUCAGCUUGCAUUGAUUACGUCCCUGCCCUUUGUACACACCGCCCGUCGCUCCUACCGAUUGAAUGAUCCGAUGAAUAUCAUGGAUUGAGGAUUAUAGCAGGUUCGCCUGUCUUGAUCUUCGAGAAGUGAAGUAAAUCUUAUCAUUUAGAGGAAGGAGAAGUCGUAACA